This is a long non-coding RNA of Xiphias gladius (swordfish), 1441 nucleotides long. RefSeq lists it as uncharacterized. NCBI's taxonomy places the organism in Eukaryota, Metazoa, Chordata, Actinopteri, Istiophoriformes, Xiphiidae. The transcript has 3 exons. The record is from RefSeq and is a predicted model, not a curated record.
AGUAACAGGGCAUGUUGUCUGGCCGUCUGGAUGGAUGAUUGCAUGGCUGGCUGCUUGGCAGACUGUCAGCCCACCUCUGGCUCUCUCUCACUCCGCCUUACUCUGUCCUUCAGGCUUGUGCUCUCUGCCUCAUGGUACAUUUAUUCAGAGAGAUGAUUCUGAGGAAAGGAGUUAUUACCUACUUACAAGAAUCUCUUUUGUUGUAGAUUCGAUUGAAAGUGAUAAUCAACUGGAGCGGCAACUCACCUUUUACGAUCGUCUGUGAAAAAAAGGUAAAGAAGACAAUCACCAACAGUGUCUCUGUAACUGCUCUGUGUUUAUUAUGGCUGAAGAAGACCUCUUCAUUAUAUGGCCUGGAGGCAUAGUGGUGCUUGCACAACUGCUGUGAUGAGUGAAAUGAUUUCCACACUGCUUCCCGCUACUUCUUUUUGCAGGGAUUGAACCCUGUGGACAUCUGUGCAUGAGAGAGACAGAGUACCGGCCCUGGAGAGUCUCAUCCUGCUGUUAAAGCUAUUGUGCCCUUCAGAGUUUCCAUAUGUUCUUCACUAUUGACAAGAUCUGACCGACAUCAGUCAAUAUGAUUCGUAUUUUCUGUUCUCUGGGCUAAGGUUAAGACGAUAUCUGCCUGUGUUUGCAUUAAUGCAUGCAAGCACACAUAAAUGCUUCUCCUGCAACAAGAACAAGCGUAACUUUUACUAUAUUGAUGAACCAGGCUUGUGACAAUACAGUCAGUACAUGUUGCAUAAUACAUGUUUUUGUUGUAAACAGACACAAAGUAUACACUGUUUUACACUUCUACUUACACUAUAAGUAGAAGAGUGUUAUAUAGAAUAUCCCCAGUACAGAGGAUAUCAGCUCUUCCUUUAAGGAGGGGUUCAUUGAGAGCAACAGUUAAGGUUUAGAGUGAGGAUAAAGGCCAGUUUAAGGUCAUGACUAACCCAUAAAAAUCACAGUGCUGACUUAGGUUUCAGAAUCAUCCCCCUUAACCUGUUGUCUGGAACUUUGCCAUCAUGGUCAAAAUCAUGUAAAGACAGAUGCAUCAGUUUCCAUUUGAGAUAUGCAAAAAUUUUGUAGAGUAGUUUUCCACGUGGUGCUGGAUUCACAACGAGUCUUUCCUCAUAUUGUUAAGAUCUGUUCCCUCUAAACUGUACCAUGGUGCCACAAGCAGCUGCAGAAUGGGAAAGGUCUAGCUUAUUACGAGGAACAGGAUAAAAACAAUUUCAUUCACAGUUUUGGUUAUUUACAAUCUACAUCAGUAGAGAUACAUUACAGAUACAUACAGCAGUAUCCUUUAUGUGGCAAAGCCAAACGUGUGGAGGUUGAGUUGUUGAAGUGUUUUAGCUCCCUAACCCUAACCGUACCAUAGUUUGCAUGCAAAGAUAUUGUAGAAAGUGAGAAAUCUUAGAAACAUUGGCAUUGAAUGUAAAAAAAAAAAAAAAAA